Molecule: ribosomal RNA, 403 nt
Filed under: uncultured bacterium
Lineage: Bacteria
Description: partial 16S ribosomal RNA
Rfam family: Bacterial small subunit ribosomal RNA
Source: RNAcentral
GACGAACGCUGGCGGCGUGCCUAAUACAUGCAAGUCGAACGCAGAGGGGACGGGUGAGUAACCCGUGGGUCACCUCCCCUCAGAGGGGAUAACACUUGGAAACAGGUACUAAACCGAUACUGAUGGAUGGACCCGCGGUGCAGUAGCUCGUUGGUGAGGUAACGGCUCACCAAGGCAACGAUGCAUAGCCGAGCUGAGAGGGUGAGCGGCCACACUGGGACUGAGAUACGGCCCAGACUCCUACGGGAGGCAGGAGUAGGGAAUCGUCUGCAAUGGACGAAAGGCUGACCGAGCAACGCCGCGUGAGUGAAGAAGGUUUGCGGAUCGUAAAACUCUGUUGUUAGAGAAGCGGUAUCUAACCAGAAAGCCACGGCUAACUACGUGCCAGCCGCCGCGGUAAUUC